Molecule: ribosomal RNA, 460 nt
Filed under: uncultured bacterium
Lineage: Bacteria
Description: partial 16S ribosomal RNA
Rfam family: Bacterial small subunit ribosomal RNA
Source: RNAcentral
CCUACGGGUGGCAGCAGUGAGGAAUAUUGGGCAAUGGACGAGAGUCUGAACCAGCAAAGUAGCGUGAAGGAUGACUGCCCUAGGGGUUGUAAACUUCUUUUAUAUGGGAAUAAAAUGUUCCACGUAAGGGUUUUUGUAUGUACCAUAUGAAUAAGGAUAGGCUAACUCCGUGCCAGCAGCCGCGGUAAUACGGAGGAUCCGAGCGUUAUCCGGAUUUAUUGGGUUUAAAGGGAGCGUAGGUGGAUUGUUAAGUCAGUUGUGAAAGUUUGCGGCUCAACCGUAAAAUUGCAGUUGAAACUGGCAGUCUUGAGUACAGAAGAGGUGGGCGGAAUUCGUGGUGUAGCGGUGAAAUGCUCAGAGACAACGAAGAACUCCGAUUGCGAAGGCAGCUCACUGGACUGUAACUGACACUGAGGCUCGAAAGUGUGGGUAUCAAACAGGAUUAGAUACCCUUGUAGUC